UACGGGGGGGGCAAGCGUUGUUCGGAAUUACUGGGCGUAAAGGGCUUGUAGGUGGCCAACUAAGUCAGACGUGAAAUCCCCAGGCUUAACCUGGGAACUGCGUCUGAUACUGGAUGGCUAGAGUUUGGGAGAGGGAUGCGGAAUUCCAGGUGUAGCGGUGAAAUGCGUAGAUAUCUGGAGGAACACCGGUGGCGAAGGCGGCAUCCUGGACCAACACUGACGCUGAGGAGCGAAAGCCAGGGGAGCAAACGGG
RNAcentral lists this ribosomal RNA (253 nucleotides) under uncultured bacterium. Its description in RNAcentral is "partial 16S ribosomal RNA". It matches the Rfam family "Bacterial small subunit ribosomal RNA", at positions 524 to 776 of the family's 1533-position model. The record is from RNAcentral.